ACGCUCGACACCUAGGAGGCAGCAGUGGGGAAUAUUGCACAAUGGGGGAAACCCUGAUGCAGCGACGCCGCGUGAAGGAAGAAGUAUCUCGGUAUGUAAACUUCUAUCAGCAGGGAAGAAAAUGACGGUACCUGACUAAGAAGCCCCGGCUAACUACGUGCCAGCAGCCGCGGUAAUCUGAGCGGGCUGGCAAGGC
Molecule: ribosomal RNA, 196 nt
Filed under: uncultured bacterium
Lineage: Bacteria
Description: partial 16S ribosomal RNA
Rfam family: Bacterial small subunit ribosomal RNA
Source: RNAcentral